Molecule: small nucleolar RNA, 106 nt
Filed under: Gossypium arboreum
Lineage: Eukaryota; Viridiplantae; Streptophyta; Magnoliopsida; Malvales; Malvaceae
Description: Plant small nucleolar RNA R71
Rfam family: Plant small nucleolar RNA R71
About the family: R71 is a member of the C/D box family of snoRNAs containing the C (UGAUGA) and D (CUGA) box motifs. Multiple nearly identical copies of this snoRNA have been identified in Arabidopsis, and it is thought to function as a 2'-O-ribose methylation guide for 18S ribosomal RNA.
Source: Rfam by way of RNAcentral
AUCCCAUGAUGAGGACACUUACGAAGUAACUUCUUGAAUCGCUCCCAAGCCUCAUGCAAACCUCGUCAUCCAAUUGUUGGAAAGUUGUAAUCUUGUUCCUCAACUU